CAACCCUCAGGCCCUGCCUGGUGUUGGAGCACCACUGCUGUGGGCUCUCAAAUUCAGCGGCGGACACGGUCCGGACCCGAGCGUAGUACUUUACGUCGCUUAGGGCGCCGGGGCUUGCCUCAGCCGUUAAACCCCCCAUCUCAAGA
RNAcentral lists this unclassified non-coding RNA (146 nucleotides) under uncultured Chaetosphaeria. Its description in RNAcentral is "sequence contains ITS2". Lineage: Eukaryota; Fungi; Ascomycota; Sordariomycetes; Chaetosphaeriales; Chaetosphaeriaceae. The record is from RNAcentral.